AGUGAACGCUGGCGGUAGGCCUAACACAUGCAAGUCGAACGGCAGCACAGUAAGAGCUUGCUCUUACGGGUGGCGAGUGGCGGACGGGUGAGGAAUACAUCGGAAUCUACUUUUUCGUGGGGGAUAACGUAGGGAAACUUACGCUAAUACCGCAUACGACCUACGGGUGAACGCAGGGGAUCUUCGGACCUUGCGCGAUUGAAUGAGCCGAUGUCGGAUUAGCUAGUUGGCGGGGUAAAGGCCCACCAAGGCGACGAUCCGUAGCUGGUCUGAGAGGAUGAUCAGCCACACUGGAACUGAGACACGGUCCAGACUCCUACGGGAGGCAGCAGUGGGGAAUAUUGGACAAUGGGCGCAAGCCUGAUCCAGCCAUACCGCGUGGGUGAAGAAGGCCUUCGGGUUGUAAAGCCCUUUUGUUGGGAAAGAAAAGCAGCAGGUUAAUACCCCGCUGUUCUGACGGUACCCAAAGAAUAAGCAUCGGCUAACUUCGUG
Molecule: ribosomal RNA, 492 nt
Filed under: uncultured bacterium
Lineage: Bacteria
Description: partial 16S ribosomal RNA
Rfam family: Bacterial small subunit ribosomal RNA
Source: RNAcentral